GCUGCUCCUCAUGACUAUCUACUGAGCCGCUGUUACACCUAUCAGCCCCACUUAUUCAUUCAAAUUAACAACACGAAUUCACGCUUUUUUCUGUGCCUGAGUUGAUGGCGGUUGACAUGGAGAUAAGUCCCGCCCUCCAAAUGAAGCAAAUAACCACAAACGGUGCCGCGAUUAACUCGCUGUGAGAAUGUUUACUGUCAAAUACGUUUGAAUGACAUCUGGCAGCCAUUUUGAAAUGUUUAAAAUAAAACCACAACUUAUUUCUAUUUAGUUUAUUGACCGUUCUGUUCUUUUUCCCAGACGACGAUGUUGAAUACGACGACGACUUCACCAGCCAUCGGUCGGACCUCUCGAAGAGCGAGCUGAGCAUCGGGGAGGAGAUCGAGGAAGUCUCCAUCGAGGGACCCGACGUCAGCAACCAGGGGGGGGACAGCACGCAGGACCUGAGCGUCUCUCAGCUCAGCCAAAGUCACGGGGCCGACUACAUGGAGGAGGUGGCCUGACCCUCCCAGCAUGCACCUCUUCCUCCUCCCCUCUAUAUUUAAGUCCGUGCUCCAAUAGUAGCAAGCCAAUAAAGUCAUUUGUAUCCACG
Non-coding RNA from Gasterosteus aculeatus aculeatus (three-spined stickleback), 592 nucleotides. The record is from RefSeq and is a predicted model, not a curated record. Lineage: Eukaryota; Metazoa; Chordata; Actinopteri; Perciformes; Gasterosteidae.